ACGACGUCAAGUCAGCAUGGCCUUUAUAUCCUGGGCUACACACACGCUACAAUGGUCGGUACAAUGGGUCGCCAAGCCGCGAGGCGGAGCCAAUCCUCCAAAACCGGCCUCAGUUCAGAUUGUAGGCUGCAACUCGCCUGCAUGAAGUUGGAGUUGCUAGUAACCGCGCGUCAGCUAUAGUGCGGUGAAUACGUUCCCGGGGCUUU
RNAcentral lists this ribosomal RNA (206 nucleotides) under uncultured Anaerolineaceae bacterium. Its description in RNAcentral is "partial 16S ribosomal RNA". It matches the Rfam family "Bacterial small subunit ribosomal RNA", at positions 1179 to 1382 of the family's 1533-position model. The record is from RNAcentral. Lineage: Bacteria; Bacillati; Chloroflexota; Anaerolineae; Anaerolineales; Anaerolineaceae.